UCACCUGCUCCACCGCGUUGGUCACCAGAGGCCCGAUUCCGUCGCCGGGUAUCAGAGUGACGGGACGUGGAGCUCCGUCUCCCGGCCGGGGCAUGUAGGUGACGGAUCGGGUUUGGAGAUCAGGUCGGGACGUGUUUCUCGCCGUUGUUGAGGUCAGAUGUUUAAGGAGAGAGAGGCAACGCCACCGGCGAGACAUUUUCCGUUUCUUUUUUUCCGAUUGCUGGAAGAGCCCGUCUCUGGAUCGAAGGAAAAGCUUUUCUAUUCGGAUUUUCUG
Molecule: long non-coding RNA, 274 nt
Filed under: Carica papaya (papaya)
Lineage: Eukaryota; Viridiplantae; Streptophyta; Magnoliopsida; Brassicales; Caricaceae
Description: long non-coding RNA (CPAP_LNC011216)
Source: RNAcentral